ACUGUGUACUACGGAGAAUACAAAUGCACGGGGAAAGGCGCGACUCCUGCUACACGAGAGAAAUUCGUCAAACAACUAUCGGAUGCGGAAGCUAAACCAUUCUUGGUUCUUGACUACGUUGAAGGUACCAAAUGGUUGCUUCCCCCUCCGACAGUACCUAAAUAAUUCAUUCAUUCCCAACUUUUUCAUGCCGGCAACAUAUCCUCACAGUAUUGCUAAUUCAAGCAGACUCUCGUCUACCUCUUUGCUGGGUGGAAAUAACUAGCCAUCCAUUUUAUUUUAUUUAUUUUAUUUUCCCUUCCCAUGGCUUGUAUUUUAACAAAUAGCCAAAUGUCAAUAAGAAGCAGAAUUUAGUCUUAUUUUUAUUAAUAGUUAGGAUGUUGAUAUUUGCCAUUAUGUAGAAAAUUUCCAUCAUAUCAAGUUAAAAUUAUGUAAUAAUAUCCAUCAUAUAUCCAAGUUCAUUGAUUCAAUAAGUCAAGGUGAUUUCACAAACUUUUGCAUUUUAGCAAAUAAAUGGACCAUUACUGUAUAUUUGUGUAACAGCUCGUUUUCAGUAGUGUCAGAAAUAGUGGAUUUGGGACCACGAUUUUGACAAGCAGUCAGCAUUUUAAUUAAUUUUUCUUUGAUAAAAUUAUUUUAAUUAUUUAUUUAGUAUUUGCUGGGUUCAUGCCCCCCUUAAUGACUUCCUAGGGUUUAGGUUCUUCCUUUCCCAAACAGUUGAUCCGUUGAGUAGCCCUAUAAAACAGUUAACAAAUCAUACCUCCACUCGCUAAUCCCCCAUAGAGGGAUCAGUUCCUCAUGGUUUUCAUAGAUAAUAUGGAAUUGAGUUAAAGAUAGAACAUGAUAAUUGAAUUGAGGUGUAGAGUUUAAAAAAGUACCUGAUUUGUAGUAAAGAUGAAUAUGAAUUCACAAAGUUUGAUCGUCUUUACACAUCAGAUCUCUCGAGAUAAAGCAAGAACAACUUGAAAAUAAUUCUAAAAACCUAAAAGAAAGAAUAUCUGAACUGGAAUUAAAAGAAAAAAAAACUAUACUAAGUAAUUGAUGUCCGUAACAUGUGAAAAAAGAUCCUAUUUAUAGAUUUCAGGUGGCCUUCGUCGUCAAACCUAGGUUAGUUGAAGUUCUAGAGCUUUAAGUUUGAUUAUGCAAACCAAAACGCCCUCUGGCUCGUGUUAGUUUCCGUCCAGAGUCGAUGUCGCGAUACAUCAGGACCUGUGUCGCAACAAAGGAUUCUAUACACUCCUCUUGGGAUAUCUUUAGGGGUAUGUCGCAACACCCUUAUAUUGUGUCGCAACAUCGAAAGCAGUUUCGUGAUUUCUUUAUCCUGCUCCCUAAGUUGCUACAUUGAUCAUUUUGUGUUGAGACAUAGUGACCAGCAUCUGUUAAUUACUCCUUCUAAUGCUCUCCUGCACACUUACACAGUUCAUUAGCUUCCCCUUAAACCUCUUCCAGCCCCUAAGGUUAAUAAAAGGCUCAAUUUGUACAUCACAUUACAUUUAAGAAGAGUUGCAAGAACAUAAUUAAAAUCUAACGAAAAUGCUUGCUUUCAACCUCCUAAAGUGCGGAAAUUAGUUUAAUCUACUACACGGAAUUACGGUAUGUCAAGUACACGACUUCAUGCUCGAAUCCACGAUUUAUAAUGUUAUUUAUAGCCCUUUUCACAUAAUUUUGGCUUUUUUUUAAUAGCUAAAUCAAGUCAUUUUGUAAUAAUAUAUGUUUUUACAGGUUAAACAGUUAACUUAGUUUUUUUUAAUAUUUUUAUUGUAUUUGAUAGCUAAAAAAAGGUUAUGUGGUUGAUGUCGUGACCACAAAGUAUGGAAGUAAUAUAAAUAUUAACUUUGUUAAUUACCAUUUGAUUCUUUUUUAGUAAUAUAAAUACUUGCUUAAUUUAAAUCUGUUCCUAUAAUAUACUUUAAGAUGUAUUCCCUAUGUUUUAUAUAAUCACAACUUGUGUGAAAUUGCCGUAUAAAAUUUAUAUUUUUAUUUAGAAACUUAGUACGUUAUAGAUAUUUUAUGUUCGGUAUUGUGUUUCGUAGAUUCUAUCAACAAAUUUUUUCGACCUUUCACGAAUGAAAGAAAAGGAAACAUAAAACUUAAUUGGCAAUUUCCAAUUAGAAUCAAACUUUUCCUCAUUUAUAUAAACCUAAUAGAUAAUUAAUUUAGUAAUAAAUUCAAAAUAAACAAGUAAGUAUUAACGGGGCAACAAAUGAAGGCAACAACAUAAAAUAUUUCCAUUCCUUACAUUAAAUUCACCCGGUUUAGGUUUUGCACUUAGGAUUAUUGUUCAAUGAUCAUGGGUGUCUGUAGUCCAAAUUUUGUGUAUUUGGCAACAAUUAUAUUCAAUUUAUACUCAUUAAUAGCGAUCAACUGCCAAAUGCUCGGUCUGAACUGUAGCAAUGCUUGCACCAAGAACUACGCAAAUGAGUGGCAAUGCGAGGAAUCCUCCAAGGCUCAUUUGUUUUAAUAUUUUUUUUGUCACCAAUUUAUCUUAUAAAUUGGAGUCACUUAGAAUUCAAAGACAACCUCAAUAAUCAAUAAACGAAGAAAAUAAACAAAUUACUCUUUUUAUUAAAAGGAAAGAAGGAGGAGGAGGAAAUGGAUGGAAAAAGAAUCGAGGGCAAUGAAGUUUAUGCUCUAGCAAUGUGUGUAAGUAUUCUCCUCUUUGCUCCGAUUGUUGUGUCACAACCAAUACCGGCAGAUAAAUCCCAAGUGGAAGCUUGGUUUAAUGGCAUUAUCAAGCCGGUGAAGGAAAGGGGUACAACCUUAGACCCUGAAUUGGUUCAAGCCGAGACAGAACCUAGAAUCAUAAAGGUGAUGCAAGGUGGGGGUGGAGAAUUCGAUACCAUAACCAAAGCCAUCGAGAGCGUUCCAUCAGGGAACGCCAAACGCGUGAUCAUAUCCAUCGGACCUGGAUCUUACAAAGAGAAAAUUAGAAUUGAAAGAAAUAAGCCUUUCAUUACAUUGUUAGGAGAUCCUAAAAACAUGCCAAAUUUGACAUUUGACGGCACCGCCAAGCAAUAUGGAACCGUAGAUAGUGCCACUCUUAUUACUGAGAGUAAUUACUUUGUGGGUGCUAAUCUCAAUAUAGUGGUAAGUUAAUGUAGAGUUUAGACAACCAUGAUCUGUCCUUUAUUGAAUUGAUUAUUAAAGGGAUUUUUUUUUAUGGUGGCAUGUUAUGCAUAUAGAACUCUGCUCCAAGGCCAGACGGUAAAAUGGUAGGAGCACAGGCGGUUGCUCUGAGAGUCUCCGGCGACAGGUCGGCUUUCUAUAACUGCAAGAUCAUUGGCUUCCAGGACACUUUGUGCGAUGACAGGGGCAACCAUUUCUUUAAGGAUUGCCAUAUUCGUGGCACUGUUGAUUUCAUUUUCGGAAGCGGGACAUCUUUAUAUCUGGUAUUCAUAUUCCCAAUGCGUGAAAUAUGAUGUAUUAUACCCCCAUAUAUACAUUUGACAAGAAAAGUGGGAUGCAGAACACGGAAAUAUUCGUGGUAGGAGAUCCAGAAGGAGAUCCGGAAAUGGCAAUAAUUACAGCACAUGCGCGAGAAAGUUCAUCGGAGGACACGGGUUAUUCGUUCGUGCAUGGCAGAAUUACAGGAACAGCGAAGGACGUAUUUUUGGGCAGGGCCUGGAAGAGCAGUCCGAGGGUUGUUUAUUCUUAUACUGAAAUGGACGAAAUCGUCCAUCCUGGUGGAUGGUCUAGUAAUCGCCAACCUGAACGAGCCGAGUAAGAUAAUACUCAGCCUUACAACGUUACAUGCCUACAAGUAAACUAAUCUUUCCCAACUUAUUGAUAAAUUUAUUAAGAUAUAUAAUGUGAGAAUGGUUUGACACGCAGCACUGUGUACUACGGAGAAUACAAAUGCACGGGGAAAGGCGCGACUCCUGCUACACGAGAGAAAUUCGUCAAACAACUAUCGGAUGCGGAAGCUAAACCAUUCUUGGUUCUUGACUACGUUGAAGGUACCAAAUGGUUGCUUCCCCCUCCGACAGUACCUAAAUAAUUCAUUCAUUCCCAACUUUUUCAUGCCGGCAACAUAUCCUCACAGUAUUGCUAAUUCAAGCAGACUCUCGUCUACCUCUUUGCUGGGUGGAAAUAACUAGCCAUCCAUUUUAUUUUAUUUAUUUUAUUUUCCCUUCCCAUGGCUUGUAUUUUAACAAAUAGCCAAAUGUCAAUAAGAAGCAGAAUUUAGUCUUAUUUUUAUUAAUAGUUAGGAUGUUGAUAUUUGCCAUUAUGUAGAAAAUUUCCAUCAUAUCAAGUUAAAAUUAUGUAAUAAUAUCCAUCAUAUAUCCAAGUUCAUUGAUUCAAUAAGUCAAGGUGAUUUCACAAACUUUUGCAUUUUAG
RNAcentral lists this long non-coding RNA (4338 nucleotides) under Gossypium barbadense (sea-island cotton). RNAcentral describes it as "long non-coding RNA (GBAR_LNC023231)". The record is from RNAcentral. Lineage: Eukaryota; Viridiplantae; Streptophyta; Magnoliopsida; Malvales; Malvaceae.